CUGGUGUCAGCCGCCGCGGUAAUACCAGCACCCCGAGUGGUCGGGACGAUUAUUGGGCCUAAAGCAUCCGUAGCCGGCCUUACAAGUCCUCCGUUAAAUCCAGCUGCUUAACAGAUGGGCUGCGGAGAAUACUAUAAGACUAGGAGGCAGGAGAGGCAAGCGGUACUCAAUGGGUAGGGGUAAAAUCCGUUGAUCCAUUGAAGACCACCAGUGGCGAAGGCGGCUUGCCAGAAUGCGCUCGACGGUGAGGGAUGAAAGCUGGGGGAGCAAACCGGAUUAGAUACCCGGGUAGUCCCAGCUGUAAACGAUGCAGACUCGGUGAUGGACUAGCUUUAUGCUGGUCCAGUGCCGCAGGGAAGCCGUUAAGUCUGCCGCCUGGGUAGUACGGUCGCAAGACUGAAACUUAAAG
RNAcentral lists this ribosomal RNA (409 nucleotides) under uncultured Nitrososphaerota archaeon. Its description in RNAcentral is "bacterial SSU rRNA". It matches the Rfam family "Archaeal small subunit ribosomal RNA", at positions 452 to 861 of the family's 1478-position model. Lineage: Archaea; Thermoproteati; Nitrososphaerota. The record is from RNAcentral.